RNAcentral lists this ribosomal RNA (253 nucleotides) under uncultured bacterium. RNAcentral describes it as "partial 16S ribosomal RNA". It matches the Rfam family "Bacterial small subunit ribosomal RNA", at positions 524 to 776 of the family's 1533-position model. The record is from RNAcentral.
UACAGGGGGUGCAAGCGUUACUCGGAAUUAUUGGGCGUAAAGAGCGCGUAGGCGGCUUCGUAAGUCUGAUGUGAAAGCCCCGGACUCAAUUCGGGAAGUGCAUCGGAUACUGCGGAGCUGGAGUACUGGAGAGGAGAGUGGAAUUCCUGGUGUAGAGGUGAAAUUCGUAGAUAUCGGGAGGAACAACAGAGGCGAAGGCGGCUCUCUGGACAGUAACUGACGCUGAGGCGCGAAAGCGUGGGGAGCAAACAGG